Non-coding RNA from Mycena crocata, 93 nucleotides. The record is from the annotation of a GenBank genome assembly. NCBI's taxonomy places the organism in Eukaryota, Fungi, Basidiomycota, Agaricomycetes, Agaricales, Mycenaceae.
GGCCUGGUGGUGUAAUGGUAACACGUCUUCCUCAAAUAGAAAAGUUUGGGUGUAAUUUGGAAGAAGAACCUCGUUCGAUUCGGGGCCAGGCCG